Amaranthus tricolor (Joseph's coat) is the source of this 834-nucleotide long non-coding RNA. RefSeq lists it as uncharacterized. NCBI's taxonomy places the organism in Eukaryota, Viridiplantae, Streptophyta, Magnoliopsida, Caryophyllales, Amaranthaceae. The transcript has 4 exons. The record is from RefSeq and is a predicted model, not a curated record.
UAAUCCCUCAUAAUCCAAUUCCCUCCCUUCGAAAUUUCAGAAUCCAUAUACGGCGCCCAUACCCUUCCCUCACAAACCCGAUUCUCUCACAAGCCCUAAUCCCGCACACCGGAGGUAAGCCAUUGCCGCCUGCACAUCGGAGCCUCUGCCGCUUUUUCAGCUGCCUUCUGCACGCCGGUGCUGCCGCUACGCUGCCCUUCAGCCGCCUCUGAACCCACGACAGAUAGAAGCAAUUUUACAAGAUGUUACUGGGCAAGGUUGCAUCUCUAAUAUUGAUGCCCUGAAUAUAAGGUUGGACAGUCAGAUUCUUUUCAUUUCUUCUGGUAAUUUGCCACUGAUGUCUGGUCAAUUGUGGUCACUUCUCAUUCAUAAAGAAGGUGGGGAUAUGUAAACAGUGGCAAUAUGGCAAAUGAUCCGAAUUGCAUAAUGCAUAGGCUUCUAAUUGCUCAAUCUGCUAGAUUCUUGUGAUUCGUUGCCCUUGGUGUUGGGGACUUGGUAUUAGAUCGUUCCUUGAUCUUCGAAGUUGGUUCCGCAAUUAUGAGGUUUCAUCAUGUGAGGUUUGCAAUGAAGCUGGGGUGAAGGGAAACAUAUCUUCGUUGGAGAUUUUUGGUACUCAAUGACGAAGUUGGUGAUAGCUACAAGCAUUUUGGAUGCGCGAUGUUUUGGGUUAUGAAGUAGCUAUAUGUGCACUUGUAUAUUUUUGGACUUUUUCAAAGUGUCUAUCACUUGUAAAUUUUUGCAUAAAAACUUGUGUAUGGUUGGAGAAUUAUGUUGGAAAAUUGGUUAUCCGAUCCGUUACAUGUAUAUGAAUUAUGUAUAUUUUUGACACACGAU